Anser brachyrhynchus (Pink-footed goose) is the source of this 2031-nucleotide long non-coding RNA. NCBI's taxonomy places the organism in Eukaryota, Metazoa, Chordata, Aves, Anseriformes, Anatidae. The record is from Ensembl.
AUUUUAAUAGCUCUGUACAUAGUAUUAUACAACUCAACUUCUGCCUAUAGAGUUUCUUCAUUCAGAGAAGCUGCAGUAAGAUAAGCAAUAAACUUGCUCAGAGUUGGCAGUUAAAGAAAAGCUUCAGUAAAAACUACUUAGGGAUUUUCCUCCUACAGCCUAUUUGCCGCAGGAAAAUGUUAUGGGGGAUGACACAGAUGCAGCAUACAUAAGUGCAAUCAUUGCAGCAAUGCACACUGGGGCAGAUGAAGGCAUUUGUCAUGUUUGGGAAAUACAAGUUGCAUUUGCUUGAGAACUUGCUGGUACAGCCAAGAAAGAGGUCGCCCUGGCUCUUGCAUUGGGAGUCCUGAAGGCACCAAACCCUCCACUGCUCUUUAUCCAUCUUUCAAAGGCAUUCACAUGAAAUCAAAGCCAGUUUGUAGCUUAUUACACCUGGCUUUCUCAGUUACCAGCUUUUACCCUGCAGGCCAUGUUUUAAGAGCGCCUGAGAACUAAAAGCCAGUGUCCUGGGUGGGCUGUCAGUCACCACCAGAGACAGCAGCUCCCCAGCCGAACCGAAAUACCUACAGAGCUCUUCUUCCUUGUCCAGAGUACCAAAAGGCUGAAAUGCAAACUCUCACUCCCCCCAAGCCCCCACCCCCUUCCAGAACAUAAGCAAUUCAAUACCCCAGCUUUCCCCCAGCACUAGCCACUCUGUUUCUCGUCUUCCUUUCUAUACAAAGCAGCUGGUCCCUGCAGAUUAACAGGGCCCAGCUGCAUCUGGUCUCCAGCCACUUAACCCCUUCUGAGCUGUUUCCUCACCCGUGCAGAAGAAAACAGGAUUGUCUGCUUUCCAGAAGCCUCCUGGGGCUUGAAGUAAGAGCAUCCCUAUUAGCAAAGACAGUACUUUCCAGAGGGGAUGGGAGUCUGCAUUCACAAGGGUUUCUUCUUACAGCUUGUGGAAUCCUCAGAAACAUGAGCUUUCAGCUCCUGCUCCCACCAAAGAAUUUCCUCGUUGGAAGGCUGCUGUACCCUUUUCUGGCAAUUCUGGUGUGAGACAGCAAUCUGCGUAAUAUCAGUUGUAUUGUCUUCCAAGUGAGCCAUCUAAAGGACGCUCAGGACUCACGUAACUGCAACUGGAGCUGUUCUCCAGCUCCCCGAACAGGCACCCAGACAAGCCUGGACGCCGCCAGUCAUCAUUCCAGACAUGAUGUAGUUUGGUUUUUGCUGUGAUGGAAAGAAACACUUCUCACUGCGUCUGUGUCUCCUCCUUCUAAUGUUUGGAGGAACUGAGGCCAUCCGAAAGCACGAAGCAACAGCUCACAGCUUAGCCCAGCCAUUAAGGCUUUCUGAAAUCUCAGUAGGUGUAGAGAAAUAGCCCACUGCUCUAGCCCACCUUGACUGCAUCCGGUCUCCGGUGGACUUUCCUGUCUUUGACCAAAUUUUAGCAGCUUAACUGUGGGACCCCAGCAGGUUGGCCUGUAUCCUCUGGACCAGAAGGUUUCUUCUAACCUCAUUUGAGCCAGUGUUUUUUCCGCAUGAGAGUCAUGAAAUUCAUUGCUUUAUGAUGUGAUUCUGACCCCAGGAAGCCCCAGAGCUACAGGAGACAGAGACAGCUGUUAGUCUAGCAGAAACUGCCAGGUUUGUGAAGACCUUGUGAUGGACUCAGAACAUCAUCAGAAGCAGAGGGCCCAGGGGAAAGAGCAGACCUUAGCUCAAGUCAGCCUGAAAGGAGAACAAAGAGAGAAGCAGGGAGGAAGAAGAGUUAAAGAGAAGAGAAAACAGCUAAACGUCUAACUGAGCCAAGGAGAUCAGCUGGAGAGUUGCUUGUUUGCACAGGGUGAUAGCUGAGCUGGAUUAGGGCUGGACUGAAUCAAACAUGAGGCAGUACAUUAUAGAAGGAUCCGGUCAAGUUGGGAGGGAAAGAGGCUGAAUACAGGGAUGUGUCAAGUGAAAGGGUAGUACAGAACAUAAAGUUUAGAAACUAAGACAAGCAUUCUUACAAGUGCAGUAUUGUCAUUUUGUCUCUUUUCCUUCCGAUGGUUCUUAUAA